Molecule: ribosomal RNA, 433 nt
Filed under: uncultured bacterium
Lineage: Bacteria
Description: partial 16S ribosomal RNA
Rfam family: Bacterial small subunit ribosomal RNA
Source: RNAcentral
AACGAACGCUGGCGGCAUGCCUAGCACAUGCAAGUCGAACGAGACCUUCGGGUCUAGUGGCGCACGGGUGCGUAACGCGUGGGAACCUGCCCUUAGGUUCGGAAUAACUCCCCGAAAGGGGUGCUAAUACCGGAUAAUGUCUUCGGACCAAAGAUUUAUCGCCUUUGGAUGGGCCCGCGUUGGAUUAGCUAGUUGGUAGGGUAAAAGCCUACCAAGGCGACGAUCCAUAGCUGGUCUGAGAGGAUGAUCAGCCACACUGGGACUGAGACACGGCCCAGACUCCUACGGGAGGCAGCAGUGGGGAAUAUUGGAAGAGGGGCUAAAGCCUGAACCAGCAAUGCCGCGUGAGUGAUGAAGGCCUUAGGGUUGUAAAGCUCUUUUACCCGGGAUGAUAAUGACAGUACCGGGAGAAUAAGCUCCGGCUAACUCCGUG